AGUGAACGCUGGCGGUAGGCCUAACACAUGCAAGUCGAACGGCAGCACCGUAAGAGCUUGCUCUUACGGGUGGCGAGUGGCGGACGGGUGAGGAAUACAUCGGAAUCUACUUUUUCGUGGGGGAUAACGUAGGGAAACUUACGCUAAUACCGCAUACGACCUACGGGUGAAAGCAGGGGAUCUUCGGACCUUGCGCGAUUGAAUGAGCCGAUGUCGGAUUAGCUAGUUGGGGGGGUAAAGGCCCACCAAGCCGACGAUCCGUAGCUGAUCUGAGAGGAUGAUAAGCCACACUGGAACUGAGACACGGUCCAGACUCCUACGGGAGGCAGCAGUGGGGAAUAUUGGACAAUGGGCGCAAGCCUGAUCCAGCCAUACCGAGUGGGUGAAGAAGGCCUUCGGGUUGUAAAGCCCUUUUGUUGGGAAAGAAAAGCAGCAGGUUAAUACCCCGCUGUUCUGACGGUACCCAAAGAAUAAGCACCGGCUAACUUCGUG
Molecule: ribosomal RNA, 492 nt
Filed under: uncultured bacterium
Lineage: Bacteria
Description: partial 16S ribosomal RNA
Rfam family: Bacterial small subunit ribosomal RNA
Source: RNAcentral